UACGUGGGGUGCGAGCGUUGUUCGGAAUUACUGGGCGUAAAGAGCACGUAGGCGGGCUCGUAUGUCAAUUGUGAAAGCCCCGGGCUUAACCUGGGAAUAGCAGUUGAAACUGCGAGUCUUGAGUGUCUGAGAGGAUGGGAGAAUUGCUGGUGUAGUAGUGAAAUACGUAGAUAUCAGCAGGAAUACCUGAGGCGAAGGCGCCUAUCUGGCAGCGCACUGACGCUGAGGUGCGAAAGCGUGGGGAGCAAAC
This 250-nucleotide ribosomal RNA is filed under the name uncultured bacterium. RNAcentral's name for it is "partial 16S ribosomal RNA". It matches the Rfam family "Bacterial small subunit ribosomal RNA", at positions 524 to 773 of the family's 1533-position model. The record is from RNAcentral.